This 407-nucleotide ribosomal RNA is filed under the name uncultured bacterium. Its description in RNAcentral is "bacterial SSU rRNA". It matches the Rfam family "Bacterial small subunit ribosomal RNA", at positions 969 to 1375 of the family's 1533-position model. The record is from RNAcentral.
CCUUACCUGGCCUUGACAUCCAGAGAACUUUCCAGAGAUGGAUUGGUGCCUUCGGGAACUCUGAGACAGGUGCUGCAUGGCCGUCGUCAGCUCGUGUCGUGAGAUGUUGGGUUAAGUCCCGUAACGAGCGCAACCCCUAUCCCUGGUUGCUAGCAGGUAAUGCUGAGAACUCCAGGGAGACUGCCGGUGACAAACCGGAGGAAGGUGGGGAUGACGUCAGGUCAUCAUGGCCCUUACGGCCAGGGCUACACACGUGCUACAAUGGCGCGUACAGAGGGCUGCCAACUCGCGAGAGUGAGCCCAUCCCUUAAAACGCGUCGUAGUCCGGAUCGGAGUCUGCAACUCGACUCCGUGAAGUCGGAAUCGCUAGUAAUCGCGAAUCAGAAUGUCGCGGUGAAUACGUUCCC